AGAGUUUGAUCCUGGCUCAGAACGAACGCUGGCGGCAGGCCUAACACAUGCAAGUCGAGCGCCCUUUCGGGGGAGCGGCGGACGGGUGAGUAACGCGUGGGAAUAUGCCCUUCUCUACGGAAUAGCCUCGGGAAACUGAGAGUAAUACCGUAUACGCCCUUAGGGGGAAAGAUUUAUCGGGGAAGGAUUAGCCCGCGUUGGAUUAGGUAGUUGGUGGGGUAAUGGCCUACCAAGCCGACGAUCCAUAGCUGGUUUGAGAGGAUGAUCAGCCACACUGGGACUGAGACACGGCCCAGACUCCUACGGGAGGCAGCAGUGGGGAAUCUUAGACAAUGGGGGCAACCCUGAUCUAGCCAUGCCGCGUGAGUGAUGAAGGCCUUAGGGUUGUAAAGCUCUUUCAGCUGGGAAGAUAAUGACGGUACCAGCAGAUGAAGCCCCGGCUAACUCCGUGCCAGCAGCCGCGGUAAU
RNAcentral lists this ribosomal RNA (468 nucleotides) under uncultured bacterium. RNAcentral's name for it is "bacterial SSU rRNA". It matches the Rfam family "Bacterial small subunit ribosomal RNA", at positions 8 to 524 of the family's 1533-position model. The record is from RNAcentral.